GAUGAACGCUGGCGGCGUGCCUAAUACAUGCAAGUCGAGCGAACGGACGAGAAGCUUGCUUCUCUGAUGUUAGCGGCGGACGGGUGAGUAACACGUGGAUAACCUACCUAUAAGACUGGGAUAACUUCGGGAAACCGUAGCUAAUACCGGAUGAUAUUUUGAACCGCAUGGUUCAAAAGUGAAAGACGGUCUUGCUGUCACUUAUAGAUGGAUCCGCGCUGCAUUAGCUAGUUGGUAAGGUAACGGCUUACCAAGGCAACGAUGCAUAGCCGACCUGAGAGCGGGAUCGGCCACACUGGAACUGAGACACGGUCCAGACUCCUACGGGAGGCAGCAGUAGGGAAUCUUCCGCAAAGGGCGAAAGCCUGACGGAGCAACGCCGCGUGAGUGAUGAAGGUCUUCGGAUCGUAAAACUCUGUUAUUAGGGAAGAACAUAUGUGUAAGUAACUGUGCACAUCUUGACGGUACCUAAUCAGAAAGCCACGGCUAACUACGUG
RNAcentral lists this ribosomal RNA (497 nucleotides) under uncultured bacterium. RNAcentral's name for it is "partial 16S ribosomal RNA". It matches the Rfam family "Bacterial small subunit ribosomal RNA", at positions 28 to 507 of the family's 1533-position model. The record is from RNAcentral.